CACGUAGGAGGCAAACGUUAUCCGGAUUUACUGGGCGUAAAGCGCGUGUAGGUGGUACUGUAAGUAGGGCGUGAAAGCUCCUGGCUCAACUGGGAGAGGCCGUUCUAAACUACAGAACUAGAGGAUGGUAGAGGGAGGUGGAAUUCCAGGUGUAGCGGUGGAAUGCGCAGAUAUCUGGAGGAACACCGGUGGCGAAGGCGGCCUCCUGGACCAUUCCUGACACUCAGACGCGAAAGCUAGGGUAGCAAACGGG
This 253-nucleotide ribosomal RNA is filed under the name uncultured bacterium. Its description in RNAcentral is "partial 16S ribosomal RNA". It matches the Rfam family "Bacterial small subunit ribosomal RNA", at positions 524 to 776 of the family's 1533-position model. The record is from RNAcentral. RNAcentral also lists the same sequence under 2 other names.